RNAcentral lists this ribosomal RNA (427 nucleotides) under uncultured bacterium. Its description in RNAcentral is "partial 16S ribosomal RNA". It matches the Rfam family "Bacterial small subunit ribosomal RNA", at positions 355 to 774 of the family's 1533-position model. The record is from RNAcentral.
UGGGGAAUAUUGCACAAUGGGCGCAAGCCUGAUGCAGCCAUGCCGCGUGUAUGAAGAAGGCCUUCGGGUUGUAAAGUACUUUCAGCGAGGAGGAAGGCGGUAAGGUUAAUAACCUUAUCGAUUGACGUUACUCGCAGAAGAAGCACCGGCUAACUCCGUGCCAGCAGCCGCGGUAAUACGGAGGGUGCAAGCGUUAAUCGGAAUUACUGGGCGUAAAGCGCACGCAGGCGGUCUGUCAAGUCGGAUGUGAAAUCCCCGGGCUCAACCUGGGAACUGCAUUCGAAACUGGCAGGCUAGAGUCUUGUAGAGGGGGGUAGAAUUCCAGGUGUAGCGGUGAAAUGCGUAGAGAUCUGGAGAAAUACCGGUGGCGAAGGCGGCCCCCUGGACAAAGACUGACGCUCAGGUGCGAAAGCGUGGGGAGCAAACA